CCUACGGGGGGCAGCAGUGGGGAAUAUUGCACAAUGGGGGAAACCCUGAUGCAGCGACGCCGCGUGAGUGAGGAAGUAUUUCGGUAUGUAAAGCUCUAUCAGCAGGGAAGAAAAUGACGGUACCUGACUAAGAAGCCCCGGCUAACUACGUGCCAGCAGCCGCGGUAAUACGGAGGAUGCGAGCGUUAUCCGGAUUUAUUGGGUUUAAAGGGUGCGUAGGCGGUCCGGAAAGACAGCGGUAAAAACCCGGGGCUCAAACCCGGCGAGCCGUUGA
RNAcentral lists this ribosomal RNA (274 nucleotides) under uncultured bacterium. RNAcentral's name for it is "partial 16S ribosomal RNA". It matches the Rfam family "Bacterial small subunit ribosomal RNA", at positions 338 to 630 of the family's 1533-position model. The record is from RNAcentral.